This 157-nucleotide ribosomal RNA is filed under the name uncultured Russula. RNAcentral describes it as "5.8S ribosomal RNA". It matches the Rfam family "5.8S ribosomal RNA". Rfam says of the family: 5.8S ribosomal RNA (5.8S rRNA) is a component of the large subunit of the eukaryotic ribosome. It is transcribed by RNA polymerase I as part of the 45S precursor that also contains 18S and 28S rRNA. Lineage: Eukaryota; Fungi; Basidiomycota; Agaricomycetes; Russulales; Russulaceae. The record is from RNAcentral.
CAACUUUCAACAACGGAUCUCUUGGCUCUCGCAUCGAUGAAGAACGCAGCGAAAUGCGAUACGUAACGUGAAUUGCAGAAUUCAGUGAAUCAUCGAAUCUUUGAACGCACCUUGCGCCCCUUGGCAUUCCGAGGGGCACACCCGUUUGAGUGUCGUG